CCUACUGGUGGCAGCAGUGGGGGAUAUUGCACAAUGGAGGGAACUCUGAUGCAGCGACGCCGCGUGAGGGAAGAAGGUUUUCGGAUUGUAAACCUCUGUCUUCGAUGACGAAACGAGCCGGUAGCCGAGGAGGCAGCCACGGCUAACUACGUGCAAGCAGCCGCGGUAAUACGUAGGUGGCAAGCGUUGUCCGGAAUUACUGGGUGUAAAGGGAGCGUAGGCGGGAAAGCAAGUUGAAGGUUUAAGGGACGGGCUCAAGCCGUACAAGCGUUCGAAACUGUUUUUCUCGAGUGGAGUAGAGGUAAGCGGAAUGCGCAGUGUAGCGGUGAAAUGCGUAGAUAUCAGGAAGAACACCAGUGGCGAAGGCAGCGUACUGGGCUUUGACUGACGCUGAGGCUCGAAAGCGUGGGUAGCGAACAGGAUUAGAUACCCGGGUAGUC
RNAcentral lists this ribosomal RNA (440 nucleotides) under uncultured bacterium. Its description in RNAcentral is "partial 16S ribosomal RNA". It matches the Rfam family "Bacterial small subunit ribosomal RNA", at positions 338 to 795 of the family's 1533-position model. The record is from RNAcentral.